This 788-nucleotide ribosomal RNA is filed under the name uncultured Actinomycetes bacterium. RNAcentral's name for it is "bacterial SSU rRNA". It matches the Rfam family "Bacterial small subunit ribosomal RNA", at positions 68 to 873 of the family's 1533-position model. The record is from RNAcentral. Lineage: Bacteria; Bacillati; Actinomycetota; Actinomycetes.
GGUAAGGCCCUUCGGGGUACACGAGCGGCGAACGGGUGAGUAACACGUGAGCAAUCUGCCCUUCACUUUGGGAUAACUACCGGAAACGGUGGCUAAUACCGGAUACGACCGCUCCCGGCAUCGGGUGGUGGUGGAAAGUUCUGGCGGUGGAGGAUGAGCUCGCGGCCUAUCAGCUUGUUGGUGGGGUAAUGGCCUACCAAGGCGACGACUGGUAGCCGGCCUGAGAGGGUGACCGGCCACACUGGGACUGAGACACGGCCCACAUUCCUACGGGAGGCAGCAGUGGGGAAUAUUGGACAAUGGGCGAAAGCCUGAUCCAGCAACGCCGCGUGAGGGAUGACGGCCUUCGGGUUGUAAACCUCUUUCACCUGUGACGAAACGAAAGUGACGGUAGCAAGAGAAGAAGCACCGGCCAACUACGUGCCAACGCCGCGGUAAUACGUAGGGUGCGAGCGUCCUCCGGAAUUAUUGGGCGUACAGGGCUCGUAGGCGGUUUGUCACGUCGGGAGUGAAACUCGGGGCUUAACCCCGAGCCUGCUUCCCAUACGGGCUGACUAUAGGUAUGAGGGGAGACGGAAUUCUGGUGUUCGGUGAAUGCACAGAUUCAUGAGGACACCGGUGCGAAGGCGGUCUCUGGCAUUACUGAGCUGAGAGCGAUGUGGUGGAGCGAAAGGAUUCAUACCUGGAGUCCACCCGUAACGUGGGGCUAGUGUGGAUCAUCCCGAGUCCGUGCGAGCUACCAUUAGCGCCCGCUGGGAGACGCCCAGGCUAAAUCAAUGAUUGCAGCA